This 468-nucleotide ribosomal RNA is filed under the name uncultured bacterium. RNAcentral's name for it is "partial 16S ribosomal RNA". It matches the Rfam family "Bacterial small subunit ribosomal RNA", at positions 28 to 507 of the family's 1533-position model. The record is from RNAcentral.
GACGAACGCUGGCGGCGUGCUUAACACAUGCAAGUCGAACGGAAAGGCCCUGCUUUUGUGGGGUGCUCGAGUGGCGAACGGGUGAGUAACACGUGAGUAACCUGCCCUUGACUUUGGGAAACCUUCGGGAAAUUGGGGCAAAUCCCGGAUGGGACCUCUUUCUGCUUGUUGGGGGUGGGAAAUUUCCGGCGGUUGGGGAUGGACUCGCGGCUUAUCAGCUUGUUGGUGGGGUAGUGGCUUACCAAGGCUUUGACGGGUAGCCGGCCUGAGAGGGUGACCGGCCACAUUGGGACUGAGAUACGGCCCAGACUCCUACGGGAGGCAGCAGUGGGGAAUAUUGCACAAUGGGCGGAAGCCUGAUGCAGCAACGCCGCGUGCGGGAUGACGGCCUUCGGGUUGUAAACCGCUUUCGCCUGUGACGAAGCGUGAGUGACGGUAAUGGGUAAAGAAGCACCGGCUAACUACGUG